CGGAGGAUCCGAGCGUUAUCCGGAUUUAUUGGGUUUAAAGGGUGCGUAGGCGGCCUGUUAAGUCAGGGGUGAAAGACGGUAGCUCAACUAUCGCAGUGCCCUUGAUACUGAUGGGCUUGAAUGUACUAGAGGUAGGCGGAAUGUGACAAGUAGCGGUGAAAUGCAUAGAUAUGUCACAGAACACCAAUUGCGAAGGCAGCUUACUAUGGUAUUAUUGACGCUGAGGCACGAAAGCGUGGGGAUCAAACAGGAUUAGAUACCCUGGUAGUCCACGCCCUAAACGAUGAAUACUCGAUGUUAGCGAUAUACAGUUAGCGUCAAAGCGAGAGCGUUAAGUAUUCCACCUGGGGAGUACGCCCGCAAGGGUG
RNAcentral lists this ribosomal RNA (368 nucleotides) under uncultured organism. RNAcentral's name for it is "bacterial SSU rRNA". It matches the Rfam family "Bacterial small subunit ribosomal RNA", at positions 526 to 896 of the family's 1533-position model. The record is from RNAcentral.